AGCAGCCGCGGUAAUUCCAGCUCCAAUAGCGUAUAUUAAAGUUGUUGCAGUUAAAAGCUCGUAGUUGAAUUUCGGGAUCAGUUGGUCGGUCGUGCCUCGGUACGUACUGGUCAAAUUGAUUCCUACCUUCUGACGAACCACGAUGUCAUUAAUUUGGUGUCGCGGGAAAUCAGGACUGUUACUUUGAAAAAUUAGAGUGUUUAAAGCAGGCUCGCGCUUGAAUACAUUAGCAUGGAAUAAUGAAAUAGGACGUUUGAUUCUAUUUUGUUGGUUUCUAGGAUCGACGUAAUGAUUAAUAGGGAUAGUUGGGGGCAUUAGUAUUCAAUUGUCAGAGGUGAAAUUCUUGGAUUUAUUGAAGACUAACUACUGCGAAAGCAUUUGCCAAGGAUGUUUUCAUUAAUCAAGAACGAAGUUAGGGAUCGAAGACGAUCAGAUACCGUCGUAGUCUUAACCAUAGACUAUGCCGACUAGGGAUCGGAUGAUGUUAAUUUUUAUGUACUCAUUCGCGUACCG
This 513-nucleotide unclassified non-coding RNA is filed under the name uncultured Glomus. RNAcentral describes it as "SSU rRNA". It matches the Rfam family "Eukaryotic small subunit ribosomal RNA", at positions 569 to 1088 of the family's 1831-position model. The record is from RNAcentral. Lineage: Eukaryota; Fungi; Glomeromycota; Glomeromycetes; Glomerales; Glomeraceae.